AUGAACGCUGGCGGCGUGCCUCAUACAUGCAAGUCGCGCGAACAGACGAGGAGCUUGCUCCUCUGACGUUAGCGGCGGACGGGUGAGUAACACGUGGAUAACCUACCUAUAAGACUGGGAUAACUUCGGGAAACCGGAGCUAAUACCGGAUAAUAUAUUGAACCGCAUGGUUCAAUAGUGAAAGACGGUUUUGCUGUCACUUAUAGAUGGAUCCGCGCCGCAUUAGCUAGUUGGUAAGGUAACGGCUUACCAAGGCAACGAUGCGUAGCCGACCUGAGAGGGUGAUCGGCCACACUGGAACUGAGACACGGUCCAGACUCCUACGGGAGGCAGCAGUAGGGAAUCUUCCGCAAUGGGCGAAAGCCUGACGGAGCAACGCCGCGUGAGUGAUGAAGGUCUUCGGAUCGUAAAACUCUGUUAUUAGGGAAGAACAAAUGUGUAAGUAACUAUGCACGUCUUGACGGUGCCUAAUCAGAAAGCCACGGCUAACUACGUG
Molecule: ribosomal RNA, 496 nt
Filed under: uncultured bacterium
Lineage: Bacteria
Description: partial 16S ribosomal RNA
Rfam family: Bacterial small subunit ribosomal RNA
Source: RNAcentral